GCGAUGGAAAAGAGGUUGGGGAGGAACUUUGGGAAGAAACUGCUGGAAGGCUCUGGCAGAUCGGUCCUGGCCCGGGUAAAGAGCAGGGGCGCGUUCUUAGGGAACUUCCAAAGGCAGCCUCUCGACCCGUGCAGAAGGCAGAGGGGCCUUGGCCUCCGGGGAGCUGGGCGGAUGGCAGCGGCACUGCCGCUUCAUCUGCUCCUUAUUAAUAACGUGUUCGGUGCCCGGACGCAACUGUUGUGUCUACUGAGGACUGCACUGGAAUCUGCCUCUCUGCAGCCGCUUGGGAACGUGGGUGUACCCUGAGAUUUAGCAGCUGCCUCUGAGUUUGUGUCCAAAGAUCAAAGAUCGAUCUUUAAACUCCAACUAUAUUCACCCGCCGGCUUUUCCACGUGGGGGAGAUACAGUUCUUCGAUUCCCCGGGCUGCGGGACGAGGGGGUGGGGUUCAGAAAGAGCGGUCUGCAGACCCUGGCGAUUCACGGGUUCUUUCUUUCACAUGGGGGAGCUCAUGGAAAGUGC
This 520-nucleotide long non-coding RNA is filed under the name Rattus norvegicus (Norway rat). RNAcentral's name for it is "long non-coding RNA NONRATT018358". The record is from RNAcentral. Lineage: Eukaryota; Metazoa; Chordata; Mammalia; Rodentia; Muridae.